UUUGAUCCUGGCUCAGAUUGAACGCUGGCGGCAUGCCUUACACAUGCAAGUCGAACGGUAACAGGUCUUCGGAUGCUGACGAGUGGCGAACGGGUGAGUAAUACAUCGGAACGUGCCCGAUCGUGGGGGAUAACGAAGCGAAAGCUUUGCUAAUACCGCAUACGAUCUACGGAUGAAAGCAGGGGACCGCAAGGCCUUGCGCGAACGGAGCGGCCGAUGGCAGAUUAGGUAGAACCAGUUGGUGGGAUCUUACCAAGCCGACGAUCUGUAGCUGGUCUGAGAGGACGACCAGCCACACUGGGACUGAGACACCGCCCAGACUCCUACGGGAGGCAGCAGUGGGGAAUUUUGGACAAUGGGCGAAUGCCUGAUCCAGCCAUGCCGCGUGCAGGAUGAAGGCCUUCGGGUUGUAAACUGCGGUUGUACGGAACGAAAAGACUCUGGUUAAUACCUGGGGUCCAUGACGGUACCGUAAGAAUAAGCACCGGCUAACUACGUGCCAGCAGCCGCGGUAAUACGUAGGGUGCAAGCGUUAAUCGGAAUUACUGGGCGUAAAGCGUGCGCAGGCGGUUAUAUAAGACAGAUGUGCCAAAUCCGGGCUCAACCUGGGAACUGCAUUUGUGACUGUAUAGCUAGAGUGCGGCAGAGGGGGAUGGAAUUCCGCGUGUAGCAGUGAAAUGCGUAGAUAUGCGGAGGAACACCGAUGGCGAAGGCAAUGGGCUCCCCCUGUACUGACGCUCAUGCACGAAAGCGUGGGGAGCAAACAGGAUUAGAUACCCUGGUAGUCCACGCCCUAAACGAUGUCAACUGGUUGUUGGGUCUUCACUGACUCAGUAACGAAGCUAACGCGUGAAGUUGACCGCCUGGGGAGUACGGCCGCAAGGUUGA
This 888-nucleotide ribosomal RNA is filed under the name uncultured bacterium. RNAcentral describes it as "bacterial SSU rRNA". It matches the Rfam family "Bacterial small subunit ribosomal RNA", at positions 12 to 897 of the family's 1533-position model. The record is from RNAcentral.